This 301-nucleotide ribosomal RNA is filed under the name uncultured bacterium. Its description in RNAcentral is "partial 16S ribosomal RNA". It matches the Rfam family "Bacterial small subunit ribosomal RNA", at positions 509 to 807 of the family's 1533-position model. The record is from RNAcentral.
CAGUAGCCGCGGUAAUACGUAGGUGGCAAGCGUUGUCCGGAAUUAUUGGGCGUAAAGCGCGCGCAGGUGGUUUAAUAAGUCUGAAGUGAAAGCCCACGGCUCAACCGUGGAGGGUCAUUGGAAACUGUUAAACUUGAGUGCAGGAGAGAAAAGUGGAAUUCCUAGUGUAGCGGUGAAAUGCGUAGAGAUUAGGAGGAACACCAGUGGCGAAGGCGGCUUUUUGGCCUGUAACUGACACUGAGGCGCGAAAGCGUGGGGAGCAAACAGGAUUAGAGACCCGCGUAGUCCCUGUCUCUUAUAC